This 467-nucleotide ribosomal RNA is filed under the name uncultured bacterium. RNAcentral describes it as "partial 16S ribosomal RNA". It matches the Rfam family "Bacterial small subunit ribosomal RNA", at positions 28 to 507 of the family's 1533-position model. The record is from RNAcentral.
GACGAACGCUGGCGGCGUGCUUAACACAUGCAAGUCGAACGGAAAGGCCCAGUUUGCGGGGUACUCGGGUGGGGAACGGGUGAGUAACAGGUGGGUGAUCUGCCCCUGACUUUGGGAUAAGCCUGGGAAACUGGGUCUAUUACGGGAUAUUCAUUUUUCCGCGCAGGGGGAGUGGUGGAAAGCUUUUGCGGUUGGGGAUGGGCCCGCGGCCUAUCAGCUUGUUGGUGGGGUAAUGGCCUACCAAGGCGAAGACGGGUAGCCGGCCUGAGAGGGUGAUCGGCCACACUGGGACUGAGAUACGGCCCAGACUCCUACGGGAGGCAGCAGUGGGGAAUAUUGCACAAUGGGCGGAAGCCUGAUGCAGCAACGCCGCGUGAGGGAUGACGGCCUUCGGGUUGUAAACCUCUUUCAGCUCCGACGAAGCGGAAGUGACGGUAGGGGCAGAAGAAGCACCGGCCAACUACGUG